CAAAAUAAUAAAUAGAUUUAUAUAUAAUUAAGUGGAUAUUUUAGUUUAAGUUUUAUCAAGUAUAUUUGUUUUUAAUUAAAUUACUAAGCCUUUUCUUUUAAAAUUCAAAAUAAUAAGAGAAGUAGUAAUAAUUAAGUAUUUAAUUGUCAGCAGGACAACACCGGGCGGUUCCUAUCACGUACGUAUCAUCUCUUUCAUAAACAACAACACCCUUCUCUUCAUAAAAGACCAAAGAACCAUUAACACAUAAAAAAACACUUCCAACACCAUCUCAUAAAACUUCCUCACUCUCCCAUUUUUACUGAACAAAAAGAAACAACAUUAAGGCAUUUCACUCUUCAUCAACUCAACACAACCCAUAAACCGCACCUAACUCCGGCCAACCACCGACAACCGCCGUCGAAGGUUGUUUUUAUACUGUUCUGCUGUCGGCGGAUUGUUAUUAUUGUGUUGUUUUUGUUGUUUAUUUGUUGAUUUUUUUUAGACAUAAUUGAAUAAGAGAGGGAGAAUCUUAUUUUGUUUUAAAAGAAAAAAAAAUUGUUGUUUGAUAUUGUUACUGUAUUUACAUGUGAAAGAGAUGAAGAAGAAUAUAUGUUGAUUGUUUUGACUUUUUCCACCAUGCCACAUGUCUCAUUCUGGUUGGAUGAGUUUG
Molecule: long non-coding RNA, 652 nt
Filed under: Lathyrus oleraceus (garden pea)
Lineage: Eukaryota; Viridiplantae; Streptophyta; Magnoliopsida; Fabales; Fabaceae
Description: Pisum sativum (pea) long non-coding RNA (PSAT_LNC019504)
Source: RNAcentral